RNAcentral lists this ribosomal RNA (253 nucleotides) under uncultured bacterium. RNAcentral describes it as "partial 16S ribosomal RNA". It matches the Rfam family "Bacterial small subunit ribosomal RNA", at positions 524 to 776 of the family's 1533-position model. The record is from RNAcentral.
UACGUAGGGUGCAAGCGUUAAUCGGAAUUACUGGGCGUAAAGCGUGCGCAGGCGGUUUUGUAAGUCUGACGUGAAAUCGGCGGGCUCAACCUGGGAAUUGCGUUGGAGACUGCAAGGCUAGAAUCUGGCAGAGGGGGGUAGAAUUCCCCGUGUAGCAGUGAAAUGCGUAGAGAUGUGGAGGAACACCGAUGGCGAAGGCAGCCCCCUGGGUCAAGAUUGACGCUCAUGCACGAAAGCGUGGGGAGCAAACAGG